AAGUCGUAACAAGGUUUCCGUAGGUGAACCUGCGGAAGGAUCAUUAACAAAAUCAUAUACAAAUCCGAUGUAUACAAUUUCUAUGCAAAUAGAUUUUGUAUAUAUUAACCAUUUGUGAAGAGUCCAUAUAAAAAGUUUGUAUAUAUAUAUUAUACAUACGUAUACAAGCUUUUUAUAUGGAAAUUUUGGAUUUUAAUAUAUAUAUGUAUAUAUAUAUAAUAUAUAUAUCUAUAUGUAUGUAAAUCCAAAAAUCAUUAACCAGAGUUUUAUUAUCGAGUUUUAAUAUAUAAUUUUUAUAUAUAAACAACUUUUAACAAUGGAUCUCUUGGCUCUU
RNAcentral lists this unclassified non-coding RNA (334 nucleotides) under fungal sp. RNAcentral's name for it is "partial internal transcribed spacer region". The stretch from base 1 to 46 matches the Rfam family "Eukaryotic small subunit ribosomal RNA", at positions 1786 to 1831 of the family's 1831-position model. Lineage: Eukaryota; Fungi. The record is from RNAcentral.